Molecule: long non-coding RNA, 1828 nt
Organism: Saccostrea cuccullata (small rock oyster)
Lineage: Eukaryota; Metazoa; Mollusca; Bivalvia; Ostreida; Ostreidae
Exons: 8
Source: RefSeq, a predicted model, not a curated record
UAAUCUUGUGAUGUAUGUUCGAAAUCUUGUGAUGUAUAUUCGAAAUCUUGUGAUGUAUGUUCGAUAAUCUUGUGAUGUAUAUUCGAAAUCUUGUGAUGUAUGUUCGAUAAUCUUGUGAUGUAUAUUCGAAAUCUUGUGAUGUGUGUUCUACAAUUCAGUGAUGCGUGCAAUAAAAUUGCAUGACGCAACAGAAAAGUAAGGACAAUUUUCAUUGGUUAGAAAUAACGAAAGUAGCCGGAGCGGUCGUAAUGCACACAUUGACACAACUUCGCAAGCAUGAAAUUAUUGACGAAUUCAACCUAAAGUCAAAAUUAUAGGAACUUUACGUAGGUCUACAGUUUUAAUUUUGGACUCAUGCACUAGGAAUAUCAUAUCAGCAGAAUUGUGCCACUGAAUCAAAGGGAACUCUUUUUUUUUUUAGGUACGCAUGAUCGAUGUAACUUCCUCGAUGGUGUGUUGGCUGUUUGCCCAUGUGUAUUUCGGGGUAUAGUGCGGCAUGCAGUCUGGUCAUCAACGAAGAGUUUUGACACCUGUAAUACCCAUAUUUCUACCAUUCACCUCUGUAACCUUUGUUGAGUUCAUCAGACUGUCCAAGACAGGAAGUUGAGGAAUAAAGUUGACAGGACAUCCUGAACUGUCCUCGCUACCAGCUUAUGAGGGAACCAGCUGCAGUGGACAAAGUACGUUACAUCAUAGGAUAAUAGCAUUGAAUUGGAUUCUUGAACCAGAGCCAUGUGAACCUGGUCCACCUGUACCUCUCAUUGAAGACCUGUUAACAUCACCAGAGUAUGUUCAUUCUGAUACCCCUAUGGUAUGGUUACAGCAUGCAUUAUCCCUGAAUCCAUUAAAAGAGCUGCAUUGGCAACGAAACAACCCAAUGUGGUCGAUUGUAAGGAAAUAAAGCAUAUCAGCUUCCAACUUUGGUGCAGUUCUCAGUUCUAAGCAAAGGCGAUUGACAUUGUCACUGAAGAAACAGCUGAUGUCGGCUUACAAUCUGGAGUCCAUCAAGGCUGUUGCAUGGGGUAUCACUCAUGAAGAUGAUGCUUUGAGAAAGUAUGAAAAGGACUUUGAUGCAGCUGUAGAGCAGUCAGGAUAUGGUUGCAUGAAUCCGGAGUGUUGGGAGCUUCACAUGAUGGCUUAGUUGUUCGACCACCAACAUGCAGUGUAUUUUAUCAAACUCCAGAAGCCAAAGACGCCAUUCCUGAUAUUGUAGAGGUGAAGUGUCCAUAUACAGCAUCGUCUUCAACAGUAGCAGAUGGGGCACAAAAUUUGAAGGAUUUUUCAUAGAUCUUAAACAAGAUACCCUGUGCCUGAAAACCAGUCACCCAUACUAUCAUCAAAUUCAAGGCCAGCUACACAUAUGUAACAAAACAUUCUGCGACUUAAUUGUGUGGACAAGAGUAGACUGCAUUGUGAUUAGAAUAGUAAAAGACAUUGAAUGGACAGCAAAUGUUCCAAAGCUGAUAGAUUUCUACAUUAACAUUUUCAUUCCAGCACUGAUGGAAAACUGAGUUCUGGUUUGAACUUCUUGACACUUAGUUUUGUACCUCUAGAAUUUUCUAACAAUGGAAAAUGGGUAAUCAUGUUAAAUGUGUUGAAUGUUCCUAAGUCUCAUAAAUGUAUGACAUGAUAUGUCACAAUCCAUCAUAAAACUUCUGGCUUAUAAGACUAUUUUAAAUAGCAAUGAUGAUUAAUAAAAUCUAUGUACUACAUAAAAAAAGAAUAUCAAAAUUUAGAAUCAUUUUAUUAAUGAAUUGAAGAUGUUAUUCUCAAAGUGAAAAUGUAACAUUUUUGUCUUUCUUAAUAGAUAAAUUGUUGAAAACAUGAA